AGAGUUUGAUCAUGGCUCAAAACGAACGCUGGCGGCAUGCCUAACACAUGCAAGUCGAACGCGGUCCUUCGGGACCGAGUGGCGCACGGGUGAGUAGCGCGUGGGAACCUGCCCUGGAGUGGGGGAUAACCGAGGGAAACUUCGGCUAAUACCGCAUACGCCGGCCAUCUAGAGAUAGACUGGCCGGGCAAGAUUUAUCGCUCAAGGAGGGGCCCGCGUCGGAUUAGCUGGUUGGUGGGGUAACGGCCUACCAAGGCGAUGAUCCGUAGCUGGUCUGAGAGGAUGAUCAGCCACACUGGGACUGAGACACGGCCCAGACUCCUACGGGAGGCAGCAGUGGGGAAUAUUGGACAAUGGGCGCAAGCCUGAUCCAGCAAUGCCGCGUGAGUGAGGAAGGCCGUAGGGUUGUAAAGCUCUUUCACCCGCGACGAUGAUGACGGUAGCGGGAGAAGAAGCCCCGGCUAACUUCGUGCCAGCCGCCGCGGUAAUUC
Molecule: ribosomal RNA, 491 nt
Filed under: uncultured bacterium
Lineage: Bacteria
Description: bacterial SSU rRNA
Rfam family: Bacterial small subunit ribosomal RNA
Source: RNAcentral